GACGAACGCUGGCGGCGUGCUUAACACAUGCAAGUCGAACGGUAAGGCCCCAGCUUGCUGGGGUACACGAGUGGCGAACGGGUGAGUAACACGUGGGUGACCUGCCCCGCACUUCGGGAUAAGCCUGGGAAACUGGGUCUAAUACCGGAUAGGACCGCACCGUGAGGGUGUGGUGGAAAGUUUUUCGGUGUGGGAUGGGCCCGCGGCCUAUCAGCUUGUUGGUGGGGUAAUGGCCUACCAAGGCGGCGACGGGUAGCCGGCCUGAGAGGGUGGACGGCCACAUUGGGACUGAGACACGGCCCAGACUCCUACGGGAGGCAGCAGUGGGGAAUAUUGCACAAUGGGCGGAAGCCUGAUGCAGCGACGCCGCGUGGGGGAUGACGGCCUUCGAGUUGUAAACUCCUUUCACCAUCGACGAAGGUUUUCUGACGGUAGAUGGAGAAGAAGCACCGGCUAACUACGUG
RNAcentral lists this ribosomal RNA (464 nucleotides) under uncultured bacterium. RNAcentral describes it as "partial 16S ribosomal RNA". It matches the Rfam family "Bacterial small subunit ribosomal RNA", at positions 28 to 507 of the family's 1533-position model. The record is from RNAcentral.